UUGCCCUAGUAACGGCGAGUGAAGCGGCAACAGCUCAAAUUUGAAAUCUGGCUUCGGCCCGAGUUGUAAUUUGCAGAGGAAGCUUUAGGCGCGGCACCUUCUGAGUCCCCUGGAACGGGGCGCCAUAGAGGGUGAGAGCCCCGUAUAGUUGGAUGCCUAGCCUGUGUAAAGCUCCUUCGACGAGUCGAGUAGUUUGGGAAUGCUGCUCAAAAUGGGAGGUAAAUUUCUUCUAAAGCUAAAUACCGGCCAGAGACCGAUAGCGCACAAGUAGAGUGAUCGAAAGAUGAAAAGCACUUUGAAAAGAGGGUUAAAUAGCACGUGAAAUUGUUGAAAGGGAAGCGCUUGUGACCAGACUUGCGCCGGGCGGAUCAUCCGGUGUUCUCACCGGUGCACUCCGCCCGGCUCAGGCCAGCAUCGGUUCUCGCGGGGGGAUAAAGGUCCUGGGAACGUAGCUCCUCCGGGAGUGUUAUAGCCCGGGGCGUAAUGCCCUCGCGGGGACCGAGGUUCGCGCAUCUGCAAGGAUGCUGGCGUAAUGGUCAUCAGCGACCCGUCUUGAAACACGGACCAAGGAGUCAAGGUUUUGCGCGAGUGUUUGGGUGUAAAACCCGCACGCGUAAUGAAAGUGAACGUAGGUGAGAGCUUCGGCGCAUCAUCGACCGAUCCUGAUGUUUUCGGAUGGAUUUGAGUAGGAGCGUUAAGCCUUGGACCCGAAAGAUGGUGAACUAUGCUUGGAUAGGGUGAAGCCAGAGGAAACUCUGGUGGAGGCUCGCAGCGGUUCUGACGUGCAAAUCGAUCGUCAAAUCUGAGCAUGGGGGCGAAAGACUAAUCG
Molecule: ribosomal RNA, 829 nt
Filed under: Chaetomium globosum
Lineage: Eukaryota; Fungi; Ascomycota; Sordariomycetes; Sordariales; Chaetomiaceae
Description: partial large subunit ribosomal RNA
Rfam family: Eukaryotic large subunit ribosomal RNA
Source: RNAcentral